AGGUGUUGAUAUUCUACCUUAAAAUGAAGGGUCAUGGCCUCUCUCCAUUCAGCUGUGGCUGUUGAUCUUACGGACACCAAAGGUAGGGUGUGUGCAAGAUGGAGAAGCAGGGCACGUGCAUUACUUCCUAACUCAUCUGUUACAGAACUCAAAGGUUAGUAUGUUAUUCAUGUGCCCAUCUUCUCCAUCAUGCCCACCCUACCUCAUUCUGAAUCAGCUAUGUGGUCAAAACAAAGAUCAGAUAAUCUUGCCGUUGAUGGGCAGAAUCAACGGUCUCAACUUUGCGGUCGCUGCGAUGAUCAUCAAGUAAUCUCUUUUCUAUUUUGCUUUUUGGGUUUGAUGUUUUCACAGCUGAGGUGGGCCACAAUUAUAAAACAAAUGAAUCGCUGGAAAUCAGCUGUAUACAUUGCCCUGUAUUAGAAGCAUCAUGAUUUUGAAGGCCGAAGAUUUAUGCAUUAUUUCCGACCGAAAUGAAAGCUUGAAUCUCACACGUGUUCUAUAUUAGCACGUAUGUUUGCAUGUGGAUGCAUGGCAGGCUCGUCAGGCUUCUGGAAUGAGUGUAAUUAGACCGUUGUUGCUUCUUUGUCAGCUUGAGGACAUACAUUUACGGGAGAGGAUAUAUUUCCAAAGAAAAUCGUGUUUU
Molecule: long non-coding RNA, 643 nt
Organism: Magnolia sinica
Lineage: Eukaryota; Viridiplantae; Streptophyta; Magnoliopsida; Magnoliales; Magnoliaceae
Exons: 3
Source: RefSeq, a predicted model, not a curated record